GUUGGAGUGGCGGCUUGGGGCGCAGCGUCCCUGAACUUCCUAGAGUUUCUCAGAUUGUUAGAUAUUGAAGGUAGUGUUGAAAAAUCAUUGCAGUGAUCCUAGGGAUGGGAAGCUCGAGUCGUUCCACCUGUGUCUUCCGCACCGCAGGAGUUUUGCUGAAUUAAAAGGCACUACUUUAAUUAAAAAGCAGGAUAAACCUGGGUUUGGAGUUCGGAAGGCCUUAGGCUCAAGGGCUCCAGUUGAGGAAGCGUGAACAUUUUGACUGGAGUUGAUCUUAACCCAAUGGACUUUCCCUGUGCUGACCAACCCUUUCAUCACAAGCAAUAUAUUCGGUUGCUGAGCCCUGGAAAUGUAAGCAGUCUGAAGUGAGAGAUGCUGUAAAUGAACACUGUACACUGACAAGUACCCAACACUUCCCCAAAGAGAGUAAAAUACCUCAUUAAUAGUAA
RNAcentral lists this long non-coding RNA (449 nucleotides) under Mus musculus (house mouse). RNAcentral's name for it is "predicted gene 11423, transcript variant 2 (Gm11423)". Lineage: Eukaryota; Metazoa; Chordata; Mammalia; Rodentia; Muridae. The record is from RNAcentral.